GAUGAACGCUGGCGGCGUGCCUAAUACAUGCAAGUCGAGCGAACAGACGAGGAGCUUGCUCCUCUGACGUUAGCGGCGGACGGGUGAGUAACACGUGGAUAACCUACCUAUAAGACUGGGAUAACUUCGGGAAACCGGAGCUAAUACCGGAUAAUAUAUUGAACCGCAUGGUUCAAUAGUGAAAGACGGUUUUGCUGUCACUUAUAGAUGGAUCCGCGCCGCAUUAGCUAGUUGGUAAGGUAACGGCUUACCAAGGCAACGAUGGGUAGCCGACCUGAGAGGGUGAUCGGCCACACUGGAACUGAGACACGGUCCAGACUCCUACGGGAGGCAGCAGUAGGGAAUCUUCCGCAAUGGGCGAAAGCCUGACGGAGCAACGCCGCGUGAGUGAUGAAGGUCUUCGGAUCGUAAAACUCUGUUAUUAGGGAAGAACAAAUGUGUAAGUAACUGUGCACGUCUUGACGGUACCUAAUCAGAAAGCCACGGCUAACUACGUG
This 497-nucleotide ribosomal RNA is filed under the name uncultured bacterium. RNAcentral's name for it is "partial 16S ribosomal RNA". It matches the Rfam family "Bacterial small subunit ribosomal RNA", at positions 28 to 507 of the family's 1533-position model. The record is from RNAcentral.